UUCGAUAGUCUUGUUUUACGGAUCCGUCUUGUGCCUUUUUAGGUGCGUGGUGGACAUACGGCGAUCACUGUGUUCCCAACAUSCCAAGUGCAUUGGUGUUUGGUUGUUGUGGCCCAUGGUGUCUCUGCUUGUUCUCUCGGAUGCAGAAAGCUAAUUGUGGGCGUGAGGUCUCGACCUU
This 178-nucleotide unclassified non-coding RNA is filed under the name Melicope simplex. RNAcentral's name for it is "partial external transcribed spacer". The record is from RNAcentral. Lineage: Eukaryota; Viridiplantae; Streptophyta; Magnoliopsida; Sapindales; Rutaceae.